CGUAGGGGGCUAGCGUUGUCCGGAAUCAUUGGGCGUAAAGCGCGCGUAGGCGGCCCGGUAAGUCCGCUGUAAAAGUCAAAGGCUUAACCUUUGAAUGUCAGUGGAUACUGCCGGGCUAGAGUCCGGAAGAGGCGAGUGGAAUUCCUGGUGUAGCGGUGGAAUGCGCAGAUAUCAGGAGGAACACCAACGGCGAAGGCAGCUCGCUGGGACGGUACUGACGCUGAGGCGCGAAAGCGUGGGGAGCAAACAGGAUUAGAUACCCUGGUAGUCCACGCCGUAAACGAUGGGCACUAGGUGUGGGAGGUGUCGACUCCUCCCGUGCCGGCGCUAACGCAUUAAGUGCCCCGCCUGGGGAGUACGGCCGCAAGGCUA
RNAcentral lists this ribosomal RNA (372 nucleotides) under uncultured organism. RNAcentral describes it as "bacterial SSU rRNA". It matches the Rfam family "Bacterial small subunit ribosomal RNA", at positions 526 to 896 of the family's 1533-position model. The record is from RNAcentral.